This 433-nucleotide ribosomal RNA is filed under the name uncultured bacterium. RNAcentral's name for it is "partial 16S ribosomal RNA". It matches the Rfam family "Bacterial small subunit ribosomal RNA", at positions 29 to 507 of the family's 1533-position model. The record is from RNAcentral.
AACGAACGCUGGCGGCAUGCCUAACACAUGCAAGUCGAACGAUGCUUUCGGGCAUAGUGGCGCACGGGUGCGUAACGCGUGGGAAUCUGCCCUGGGGUUCGGGAUAACAGCGGGAAACUGCUGCUAAUACCGGAUGAUAUCGCGAGAUCAAAGAUUUAUCGCCCUGGGAUGAGCCCGCGUCGGAUUAGGUAGUUGGUGGGGUAAGAGCCUACCAAGCCGACGAUCCGUAGCUGGUCUGAGAGGAUGAUCAGCCACACUGGGACUGAGACACGGCCCAGACUCCUACGGGAGGCAGCAGUGGGGAAUAUUGGACGAUGGGCGCAAGCCUGAUCCAGCAAUGCCGCGUGAGUGAUGAAGGCCUUAGGGUUGUAAAGCUCUUUUACCCGGGAUGAUAAUGACAGUACCGGGAGAAUAAGCCCCGGCUAACUCCGUG